CCCCCCUUGUACAUGAUAUAUGACAUAAUAAAAAAUAUAACCCCAAACCUAAACAAGAAGGGGGUAGUUUGUUAAGAAGAAGAUAAUAAAGAACAGAAAGACGUCAUGGCUUGAGACGCUGGUCUCUAUCAGAAUCAAUAUAGGGUAAAAAAAACAAUCACUUGACCAAUAACCUAGCAAUUUAAUGUCACUGUCCGAAAGACCUACAGAUCUUGCCCAAGUGGCAGCACUCCUACGAAAAGAGUGUCCCCCAUAAUUUUGAGGAUUACAGCCAAGGUGUUGCAACAAAAACGAAGGCAUUGGAGAAAAACAGUUUAAGGCAAACAACUUCUGUCAGACAACCUAAAUAACGGAUCUGAUGGAUCUUCAGGUAAGGCAAGCACGCGGGAUAAGGCUGCAUACGGACUAAGCUGGUGACCGUGUAACAAAGGGAUAAUUACCUCAAUAGGCUUAGAACGAAACUGCAGCGUCUUAAUUACUUUGAGCGUUACAAGCAUACCCCAGCUACAAGGCAGCACAUCUACCCUUCGCAAAUUGAUUUCUGGAUCAAAAAGACCUUUGACUAAAAAAUUGUUUGGUCGCACAUAAAAACCUGUAAGGCAAGCAGCCUAUUAACAAUAUUAUUAUGACAUUCAAGAUUUAAAAUUGACUUAAAUCUUAACAACAGUUCUGGCGUAACAGGUGCCUUACAAUUUUGACUGGUACCAAGUUCCCGUUUGACACCAGUUAGUAAAUGCCGGACAUUCCAACAGCUUGCAAUAGGGUCCGGUUUGUCGUGCGAUUUAUGCAGCACAGAAAUAAUAUUCAAAUACGAUGGUAUCGAGCUAAACGCAAAGUUUUUCACAUCUACAAGAAACGCAAUGUAAAGUUCUACAUGUUUGGUUGUGCAUGGCACUGGUUUUAGGUCAUAAUUUUCAGUGAAUUCGAGAUAAGUCUUGAGAUGGGUACGGUAAGUUCCUGAAGUUGAACUAGCCCACCCCUUGCUUUUCAAGCGAACCACAGUGUUCUCCAACAUUUGCGUUUCCAUUGUUUCUCCAUCUUGAAUUAAAAAAGUCAAAAGAUAUGUGAUUUAGUAGCUCGAUAGUUGUAAACGGUAUACAAAAUAAGUGGCUCACAAGUUUAUCAUAAAGCCUAGAUAAUUGUCCUGGUUCAUGAAGUCUUAACGCGGCGUCAGCAAUAACAUUAUUACGACCACUGAUAAAGUUUGCUCUGAUUUCGAAAUUGUGUGUAGCCGAUAACCAGAAAAGUUCAACUGAGUCAUUAAAGUUUUGUUUCUAGAACUACCUUUGUUAAUGAUGCAUUUUGUAGUCAUGUUUUCUGUAGAUACGACUACACGUUUAUUAGCCCACAAAUGUCCCCAUCUCAUCGCGGACAACACAAUAGAC
RNAcentral lists this long non-coding RNA (1385 nucleotides) under Mytilus galloprovincialis (Mediterranean mussel). The record is from RNAcentral. Lineage: Eukaryota; Metazoa; Mollusca; Bivalvia; Mytilida; Mytilidae.